CAGCUCGUACUCUACUGUUACGUUGUGUACACACCGGUCUUACUGUCUAUUUUUGAGACCGGUGUGUACACAUUGCUACUGUUAUACUUUUAUUUUACGGAAAUGUUCGGAAAUUACAAAAUUCCCCAAUUGGACAGCGACUUUGCAGCACUCCAAUGACUGUAUUUCUCGGUGACAUCCCCAACAAUCAGGGCAGCCACGUGGAUAUGGUCAGACUCAAACCAGCGAAUGAGGCCGUAUUCAUCAACCUCCUCCUCAGGAACACUGAGCUCAGCGCCGAAUGAUGUGCCUUCAAACACAUCACCAUUCUCCAAAACGAGCUUCGCUUUACCCAUCUUUGUUAAGCUUCGACAAUAAUUCGAUGAUGUUUACAUGUAUUAACACGUGGUUAUCU
This is a long non-coding RNA of Mya arenaria, 394 nucleotides long. RefSeq lists it as uncharacterized. Lineage: Eukaryota; Metazoa; Mollusca; Bivalvia; Myida; Myidae. The transcript has 3 exons. The record is from RefSeq and is a predicted model, not a curated record.